AAACCACACAACAGAAUUUCACGAAACCUUUUAGAUAAUAAGGACAUACUAUGUAGUUGUGCAUAUCGACGGGAAAUUGCGAUUCAAUUUUUUUUCUAGGAGUUACGCCCUUUGAACUUAUUUACUUUAAUGUACUACUGCAACAGUUUGUCAUCGCAACUCCUCUCAAACCACACAACAGAAUUUCAUGAAACUUUGUAGAUAAUAA
Molecule: long non-coding RNA, 208 nt
Filed under: Mytilus galloprovincialis (Mediterranean mussel)
Lineage: Eukaryota; Metazoa; Mollusca; Bivalvia; Mytilida; Mytilidae
Source: RNAcentral